GGGUGAGUAAUGCGUAGGAAUCUACCUAGUAGUAUGGAAUAGCCAUUAGAAAUGAUGGGUAAUACCGUAUAAUCCCUGCGGGGGAAAGAUUUAUCGCUAUUAGAUGAGCCUACGUUAGAUUAGCUAGUUGGUAAGGUAAUGGCUUACCAAGGCUAUGAUCUAUAGCUGGUCUGAGAGGACGAUCAGCCUCACUGGAACUGAGAUACGGUCCAGACUCCUACGGGAGGCAGCAGUGGGGAAUAUUGGACAAUGGGCGAAAGCCUGAUCCAGCUAUGCCGCGUGAGUGAAGAAGGCCUUCGGGUUGUAAAGCUCUUUCAAUAGGGAAGAUAA
This 330-nucleotide ribosomal RNA is filed under the name Ehrlichia ewingii. RNAcentral's name for it is "bacterial SSU rRNA". It matches the Rfam family "Bacterial small subunit ribosomal RNA", at positions 104 to 451 of the family's 1533-position model. The record is from RNAcentral. Lineage: Bacteria; Pseudomonadati; Pseudomonadota; Alphaproteobacteria; Rickettsiales; Anaplasmataceae.